This is a non-coding RNA of Phalacrocorax carbo (great cormorant), 964 nucleotides long. The record is from RefSeq and is a predicted model, not a curated record. NCBI's taxonomy places the organism in Eukaryota, Metazoa, Chordata, Aves, Suliformes, Phalacrocoracidae.
CUAUGUAGACCUUAUCUCAGCCCAUAAUUAGCAUGGUUAUUUUUUGGAAUACCUCCUGGUAGCAAACCUGCAUACACAAGAGCAGAAAGGCUUCUAGGCACAGAGCGUGAUACCGUUCACCAGUUUCAGUCUCACAGACAGCACAUCUACAGUUGAAAAAGGUCUUUUGAUAAUCCUUCUGUGCAAGGAGCAACACGAAUGAAAAAAUGAAUGCUAUUACAGCCAGGGCAAUGUUUUUAUUCAGGCUGCACCUCAGAAAGAGCGCUGUACUACAUCAUGCAUGACUACUUGGAGGUCUAGUUAUUGGUGGGCUCACUACACAGCUCCAGACAAAGGAAAGCAGUACAAGUGACUCCUCCACCUCUGUGUCCCUGGACAUGAGUGGUAACGUCCGCCCCCAAUUGAAUCCCUAUAUCUAGAAGGAAUCAAAGUCCUGGAGGGAACACAAACACCAUCACUUUCCCUGACUUUGAGGAAUUUCUGGACAUCAUCUGUAACCAGGAUUGAGAAAAUAACACCCUGAAACACAGAGAGAUUCAGGAUCAUCCAAAACUAAACAUGUCUGGAAAGGAAGGUUUAAAUCAUACUUCUCAUUUUCUGCUUGCAAACAGCUGUUAGCAAAAAAGAAGACUUCCAGUAAAAUGCACCUUCUCACAACAGCAGGUUUUUUAAAUGGCUUUCCUGUAUACCAUGCUAUCAUCAGCUAGUCAAAAACCCUGCUGUCAUUCAGAGGCCUAAUUCUCCCCUCCUCAUUUCUCACAUCCAUCUGCCUGAGGUUAUUUCUCAUCUGUAGCUGGAUUGCUUGCACUGAACAACCACUGACCUUCCCAGAGAUGGGGAAGAUCUGGCAAUUGCCAAAACUCAUGAGAAUCCAGCUGAGAUACCCAGCCCUCCCACAGGGGGGUGGGUGUGCAUGGGCUUAUGUCAUUAUAAUAAUGCCAUGCCAGCAAAACCUUUUAAUCAC